This 473-nucleotide ribosomal RNA is filed under the name uncultured bacterium. Its description in RNAcentral is "bacterial SSU rRNA". It matches the Rfam family "Bacterial small subunit ribosomal RNA", at positions 355 to 825 of the family's 1533-position model. The record is from RNAcentral.
UGGGGAAUAUUGCGCAAUGGGCGAAAGCCUGACGCAGCAACGCCGCGUGAGUGAUGAAGGCCUUCGGGUCGUAAGGCUCUGUCGGAGGGAACGAAUGCUCUUGAGGUUAAUAGCCUCGGGAGGUGACGGUACCCUCAAAGGAAGCACCGGCUAACUACGUGCCAGCAGCCGCGGUAAUACGUAGGGACCAAGCGUUGUUCGGAUUUACUGGGCGUAAAGGGCGCGUAGGCGGCAUGACAAGUCACUUGUGAAAUCUCUGGGCUUAACCCAGAACGGCCAAGUGAUACUGUCGCGCUAGAGUGCAGAAGGGGCAAUCGGAAUUCUUGGUGUAGCGGUGAAAUGCGUAGAUAUCAAGAGGAACACCUGAGGUGAAGACGGGUUGCUGGGCUGACACUGACGCUGAGGCGCGAAAGCCAGGGGAGCAAACGGGAUUAGAUACCCGUGUAGUCCCUGAGCGGGCUGGCAAGGCGCAU